AAUCUGUAGGAGACUAACAGGAUUCCCCUAGUAACUGCGAGUGAAGCGGGAAAAGCUCAAAUUUAAAAUCUGGCAGUCUUUUUUUGRCUGUCCGAAUUGUAGUCUGGAGAAGUGCUUUCCGCGCUGGACCGUGUACAAGUCUCUUGGAACAGAGCGUCAUAGAGGGUGAGAAUCCCGUCUUUGACACGGACAAUCAGUGCUUUGUGAUGUGCUCUCAAAGAGUCGAGUUGUUUGGGAAUGCAGCUCAAAAUGGGUGGUAAAUUCCAUCUAAAGCUAAAUAUUGGCGAGAGACCGAUAGCGAACAAGUACCGUGAGGGAAAGAUGAAAAGCACUUUGGAAAGAGAGUUAAACAGUACGUGAAAUUGCUGAAAGGGAAACGCUUGAAGUCAGUCGCGUUGGCCAGAACUCAGCCUUGCUUUUUUGCUUGGUGCACUUUCUGGUUGACGGGCCAGCAUCAAUUUUGACUGCUGGAUAAAGGUUGGGGGAAUGUGGCACCUUAGGGUGUGUUAUAGCCCUCAGUCCCGCAUACAGUGGUUGGGAUUGAGGAUCUCAGUACGCCUUUAAGGCAAGGGGYUUUAAYUUCCCUAUGCUCGUGCUUAGGAUGCUGGCAUAAUGGCUUUAAACGACCCGUCUUGAAACACGGACCAAGGAGUCUAACAUGCCUGCGAGUGUUUGGGUGGAAAACCCGAGCGCGUAAUGAAAGUGAAAGUUGAGAUCCCUGUCGUGGGGAGCAUUGACGCCCGGACCAGACCUUCUGUGACGGAUCCGCGGUAGAGCAUGUAUGUUGGGACCCGAAAGAUGGUGAACUAUGCCUGAAUAGGGUGAAGCCAGAGGAAACUCUGGUGGAGGCUCGUAGCGAUUCUGACGUGCAAAUCGAUCGUCAAAUUUGGGUAUAGGGGCGAAAGACUAAUCGAACCAUCUGACUUCG
This 928-nucleotide ribosomal RNA is filed under the name Pseudophaeolus soloniensis. RNAcentral's name for it is "Piptoporellus soloniensis partial large subunit ribosomal RNA". The record is from RNAcentral. Lineage: Eukaryota; Fungi; Basidiomycota; Agaricomycetes; Polyporales; Laetiporaceae.